RNAcentral lists this ribosomal RNA (430 nucleotides) under uncultured marine bacterium 311. RNAcentral describes it as "bacterial SSU rRNA". It matches the Rfam family "Bacterial small subunit ribosomal RNA", at positions 1095 to 1525 of the family's 1533-position model. The record is from RNAcentral.
AGCGCACCCCUAUCCUUAUUUGCCAGCGCAUAAUGGCGGGAACUAUAAGGAGACUGCCGGUCAUAAACCGGAGGAAGGCGGGGACGACGUCAAGUCAUCAUGGCCCUUAUGGGUAGGGCUACACACGUGAUACAAUGGGUGGUACAGAGGGUCGCCAAAGCGCGAGCUGGAGCCAAACCCUUAAAACCAUUCUUAGUCCGGAUUGGAGUCUGCAACUCGACUCCACGAAGUCGGAAUCGCUAGUAAUCGCGAAUCAGAAUGUCGCGGUGAAUACGUUCUCGGGCCUUGUACACACCGCCCGUCACGUCAUGGAAGUGGGUUGCACCAGAAGUGGCUUGUUUAACCUUCGGGAAAACGGUCACCACGGUGUGAUUCACAACUGGGACGAAGUCGUAACAAGGUAGCCCUAGGGGAACCUGGGGCUGGAUCA